Capsicum annuum is the source of this 263-nucleotide long non-coding RNA. RefSeq lists it as uncharacterized. Lineage: Eukaryota; Viridiplantae; Streptophyta; Magnoliopsida; Solanales; Solanaceae. The transcript is spliced from 3 exons. The record is from RefSeq and is a predicted model, not a curated record.
UGUGGUUUAGAUCCCCCCCUCAUCUUUUGAAGUAACAAGUUUCUCUCUCUUUUCUUGCAUGCCGCUUUUACUAGGAGACAACAUGUUCAAUUGGUCAAAUUGCUGAAUUUGGAGAUCUUAAAUGAAGCUAAUCAAAGUUUCGGAGCUGACGACAAUGCUUUCCAAUAGUGGUUGAUUCCGACGAAGCUCGAGUCUUAUUUUGCUGUCCUGAAGGAGGUAACAUCUUUUUUAUUUUCAGCUGUUAUUAUCAUUUUCUUUGUUUC